GACGAACGCUGGCGGCGCGCCUAACACAUGCAAGUCGAACGAGCGAGAGAGAGCUUGCUUUCUCGAGCGAGUGGCGAACGGGUGAGUAACGCGUGAGGAACCUGCCUCAAAGAGGGGGACAACAGUUGGAAACGACUGCUAAUACCGCAUAAGCCCACGGCUCGGCAUCGAGCAGAGGGAAAAGGAGCAAUCCGCUUUGAGAUGGCCUCGCGUCCGAUUAGCUAGUUGGUGAGGUAAUGGCCCACCAAGACGACGAUCGGUAGCCGGACUGAGAGGUUGAACGGCCACAUUGGGACUGAGACACGGCCCAGACUCCUACGGGAGGCAGCAGUGGGGAAUAUUGCACAAUGGGGGAAACCCUGAUGCAGCGACGCCGCGUGGAGGAAGAAGGUCUUCGGAUUGUAAACUCCUGUUGUUGGGGAAGAUAAUGACGGUACCCAACAAGGAAGUG
RNAcentral lists this ribosomal RNA (451 nucleotides) under uncultured bacterium. RNAcentral's name for it is "bacterial SSU rRNA". It matches the Rfam family "Bacterial small subunit ribosomal RNA", at positions 28 to 492 of the family's 1533-position model. The record is from RNAcentral.